CCUACGGGAGGCAGCAGUGGGGAAUAUUGCACAAUGGGGGAAACCCUGAUGCAGCGACGCCGCGUGAAGGAAGAAGUAUUUCGGUAUGUAAACUUCUAUCAGCAGGGAAGAAAAUGACGGUACCUGACUAAGAAGCCCCGGCUAACUACGUGCCAGCAGCCGCGGUAAUACGUAGGGGGCAAGCGUUAUCCGGAUUUACUGGGUGUAAAGGGAGCGUAGGCGGCGAUGCAAGUCAGAAGUGAAAGCCCGGGGCUCAACCCCGGGACUGCUUUUGAAACUGUGUUGCUAGAGUGCAGGAGAGGUAAGUGGAAUUCCUAGUGUAGCGGUGAAAUGCGUAGAUAUUAGGAGGAACACCAGUGGCGAAGGCGGCUUACUGGACUGUAAAUGACGCUGAGGCUCGAAAGCGUGGGGAGCAAACAGGAUUAGAUACCCUGGUAGUC
RNAcentral lists this ribosomal RNA (440 nucleotides) under uncultured bacterium. RNAcentral's name for it is "partial 16S ribosomal RNA". It matches the Rfam family "Bacterial small subunit ribosomal RNA", at positions 338 to 795 of the family's 1533-position model. The record is from RNAcentral.